ACGUAACACACCAAAGCGAUUCUCAACAAGGAAACAAAGUAUACCAGUGGUUUUCCAAGCGGGCGGUGAGAGCGGCGGUGCACGCGCCGCUUGCAGAAACGUUUCGUAAAUUCGAGGAACGGCUGGAAAGAAGUGGCCGCGGCACAAAGCGUGCCGACACGACCGGGCCCGUUUGCCCCGCGGAGGCCCUUUUCUCCCCGAACAAAGUCGAAUAUACAGAAAACUGGCAAGAUCAGACCGUUCUCGACAUGCUUGCCGACUUUUUGGAAAAAGAAGGCGGAGGAAAGGUAACCGACACAGAGAAGCGGCUGAGCAGAG
RNAcentral lists this unclassified non-coding RNA (318 nucleotides) under Bombus terrestris (buff-tailed bumblebee). Its description in RNAcentral is "misc RNA ENSBTSG00005020637.1". Lineage: Eukaryota; Metazoa; Arthropoda; Insecta; Hymenoptera; Apidae. The record is from RNAcentral.